GAUGAACGCUGGCGGCGUGCCUAAUACAUGCAAGUCGAGCGAACAGACGCGGAGCUUGCUCCUUCGACGUUAGCGGCGGACGGGUGAGUAACACGUAGGUAACCUACCUAUAAGACUGGGAUAACUUCGGGAAACCGGAGCUAAUACCGGCUAAUAUUUCGAACCGCAUGGUUCGAUAGUGAAAGAUGGCUUUGCUAUCACUUAUAGAUGGACCUGCGCCGUAGUAGCUAGUUGGUAAGGUAACGGCUUACCAAGGCAACGAUACGUAGCCGACCUGAGAGGAGGAGCAGGCACACUGGAACGGAGACACGGGCCAGAAGACGAAGGGAGGCAGCAGGGGGGAAUAGUGGACAAUGGGCGCAAGCCUGAACCAGCCAUAACGCGUGGGUGAAGAAGGCCUUCGGGUUGGAAAGCCCUGUUGGUGGGAAAGAAAAGCAGCAGGGUAAGACCCCGCUGUGCGGACGGUACACAAAGAAGAAGCACCGGCUAACUUCGUG
This 497-nucleotide ribosomal RNA is filed under the name uncultured bacterium. Its description in RNAcentral is "partial 16S ribosomal RNA". It matches the Rfam family "Bacterial small subunit ribosomal RNA", at positions 28 to 507 of the family's 1533-position model. The record is from RNAcentral.